Harmonia axyridis is the source of this 1327-nucleotide long non-coding RNA. RefSeq lists it as uncharacterized. The record is from RefSeq and is a predicted model, not a curated record. The transcript has 3 exons. NCBI's taxonomy places the organism in Eukaryota, Metazoa, Arthropoda, Insecta, Coleoptera, Coccinellidae.
UACAACUUUUAAUAUAAAUUUCAUCAUUCACGUUCAGUGGAGGAACUAUUGUAAUCAAUUAUGGAAUCGAAAAAAUUAUUUAUUCUCUGAUUUCAAAAUAUUCGCUCGCGAAAUACAUCUAUAACAAAGGACAUAGAAUCAGCAUCAAAUCAAGGUGCGACCUAGUGCAUAAAAUUAACUUAUGAGUCAAAUAGUGAACAUUGGGCUGAUUCCACAGUUUACCCUUAAAUCAUAAACUUGGCUUAGACUAAGUGUAACUUAAAUCGUUGACUGUAUUCCACUUCCCACCAAGGACGUAUUUUUAGUUAAGUGUCGAUUCCGCUUUUGAGAACUGCUGACUAGCAAUUUUUCUGAACUAGUUACUUACAUCUAUAUUUUGUGGUUACCAUAGAUAAGGGGUCCAACUUUUGAAUUUAUCGAGAGUUACCAAGAGCAGUAAAUGGAAGAGGAAAAUGGAAAUAACCCGUAGGUUCUCACAUUCGGCUAAAAAUGUGUCCAAAAGUGUGGCUACUGGAGUUGUUGAAGAAGCAAUGGGAUAUGGAUUUAAGUUCAGCAACAUAAUCUACUACUGCAGUAACUUUCCCAAAAUUUGAAGAUUUAAAUAUGAAUUCAGAUGUUAGUUUACUAUCUUCAUCUAUACAGCAGCACCCAAAUCAUUUGUUGAUAGUGCAGCUCAACUUCCAAAAAAUUACUUGGGAUUCAACUGUUUGAAAAGAAAAUUAAAUACUCUUCAAUAAAAAGUUAGACCUAGAGAUGACAAGAUUUCAAAUAUGAAAGAAGUUAUAAAUGAAAUUUUUGAAUUUCAUUUAUAACUUCUUUCAUAUUUGAAAUCUUGACAUCUCUAGGAGAUAGGUGAUAUCGUGAUUAAAAAUUGGAUGUAGUUUCGAAGAACUAUUUUGAAGCUAAUUUGAAAGUCACCUGCAGAUUUAAACUGAAAGAUGUAUACAUAUAACCUCUGGAACCUAUUUUGCUCCAGGACAAAGGAUAUAUUCUUCAAUGAUGAAGGAAUUUGCACUAUAUUUCAAUUCACCUUACAAUUUUUACUUCAUGCAUCAUAUAUACAUCACAUGAAGUUCAAAUCAACAGAAAUAUUUCAAAUAUAUUCUUGAAAUGUAGAAUGCACCAUGAAUCUAAACUAAUUGAUGAUGAACUUCAGGGAAGAUCGACAACCAUCAGACAAACAAUGUCUUAACUCAUUUUAUUUGAAAAUUGUUGAAAUAUUAAGUUUUGUGUUUAUAUGUAUAUGUAUUUAUAAUUGUUUUCAUCAAAAAUAUUUGAAAAAAUCGGUUCUCGUUUUAAUUUGGGAAAGUUUCCAUAUCAAAUUUCA